UGGAGACUACAGAACUAAAUUUCUAUUUUUUCAAAUGUGGAAAUAUUUCCAAUUAUGGCAGUAGCCGCAGUACCCUUUCACAGAAUAUUGGAAGCUUCAUCUGAGGUUAGCAAUAGCAAAAUAACCACAUUGUGCCAACACAUAUACAAAUCUUCACGUAUGUAUAACAAGGAUGAGAGAUCUGUUUUCACUGCUAGCAAUCGGUAAUUUUUCAAGGCUGCAGAGGUGUCUCCUCCGGUUGCUGCUGAUGAGAUGGCAGGGGAGACUCGAAAGAAUCAACAUUUUCUUUCGGAACCAGCCCAUAAUUUCAUUGAUCAAUUCUGAUAAUGAAAAAAUAUUAGAGGAGAAGAGUUGGCCAAUGCGAAGAGGACACGCCAGAACUCCAGAUUUGGAUGCUUCUCAUGGGACUGGAUUGUAUUCAGCUGUCGUAAAUCCGUUUAGAAUUUUAAAUGAAUAAAACAUAAAAGCAUGAAUUU
This is a long non-coding RNA of Papaver somniferum (opium poppy), 476 nucleotides long. RefSeq lists it as uncharacterized. The record is from RefSeq and is a predicted model, not a curated record. NCBI's taxonomy places the organism in Eukaryota, Viridiplantae, Streptophyta, Magnoliopsida, Ranunculales, Papaveraceae. The transcript has 3 exons.